This is a small nucleolar RNA of Tachyglossus aculeatus (Australian echidna), 138 nucleotides long. The record is from RefSeq and is a predicted model, not a curated record. NCBI's taxonomy places the organism in Eukaryota, Metazoa, Chordata, Mammalia, Monotremata, Tachyglossidae.
CCCCGCUCAGGAUCACACCUGGUGAGUCCCCAGUAUUCUACCAGUCUCGGGUAUGGGAGGGAGAGUCAAGCAGAGGUGUACCCAUUUCAUUCCUAGCUUGGGCAGUGGCUAGUGAGUGGAAGAUAAUCUGCUACAAAA